AAAAAGCAGAACAGUUUCCAAAAGCAGCCCCAAAACGCAAGCCACUUAAACUGUGCCUAAGCCAAUGUUCAAAGAAAGCCCAACGAAGAAUGGUACCUCUAGGUGACAAACUUAGAGUAAUGUAUAACUGAACCAAAGUUUAUGGAAAACUCAGCUAUUCCUAAGCACAGGAAUCAAUCACAUUUGACUCUAAUUACAUAAAAAACGACUAUGAGAACUUAAAGCAUCAGAACAUAGAGACAAAAUUUUCAGAAAAGUUGCCAAAGAAAUAGCAUCAGGAUCAGAA
This 286-nucleotide unclassified non-coding RNA is filed under the name Hevea brasiliensis (rubber tree). The record is from RNAcentral. Lineage: Eukaryota; Viridiplantae; Streptophyta; Magnoliopsida; Malpighiales; Euphorbiaceae.